Molecule: ribosomal RNA, 254 nt
Filed under: uncultured bacterium
Lineage: Bacteria
Description: partial 16S ribosomal RNA
Rfam family: Bacterial small subunit ribosomal RNA
Source: RNAcentral
UACGGGGGGAGCAAGCGUUGUUCGGAUUUACUGGGCGUAAAGGGCGCGUAGGCGGCCAGCACAAGUCAGUUGUGAAAUCUCCGAGCUUAACUCGGAAAGGUCAACUGAUACUGUGCGGCUAGAGUGCGGAAGGGGCAACUGGAAUUCUUGGUGUAGCGGUGAAAUGCGUAGAUAUCAAGAGGAACACCUGCGGCGAAGGCGGGUUACUGGGCUGAUACUGACGCUGAUGCGCGAAAGCCAGGGGAGCAAACGGG